AUCAACGUUUCAGUUCCAUCUGGAACUUUCAUCAGGAUCAGGCAUGUCAGGAUGCCUGAUCCUGAUGAAAGUUCCAGAUGGAACUGAAACGU
Molecule: non-coding RNA, 92 nt
Organism: Pelobates cultripes (western spadefoot toad)
Lineage: Eukaryota; Metazoa; Chordata; Amphibia; Anura; Pelobatidae
Source: the annotation of a GenBank genome assembly